GAGAGACAGAGAGAGACAGACAGGCAGAGAGAGAGAGAGAGAGAGAGAGACAGACAGGCAGAGCGAGAGAGAGAGAGAGAGAGAGAGAGAGAGAGUGAGAGAGAGACAGACAGGCAGACGGAGAGAGAGAGAGACAGACAGGCAGAGAGAGAGAAUAUGCAAUAACAUUUCUAGCCUGUUAAUACACCCUACCAGCUUGUUCAGAAAGCUCUCGGAAGCGAGCUCAUCUCUUCCGCCGUUACAUUAGUUGCUCAAUUCCCCGUGAGGCAGCGCGUAUGAGGUCGCUUCGCUGGAUACACCAUUACUCAUAUACCAGCAUGACGUUUUCUGUCGCUGCUCAUAACUCCCUGACGUCAGUGCUAAUUUAACACACUCUGUGCCUCAAUGUCAGUUUAAAAUACACACCGCUAGAACCAAAAGAACCAAACAGAGGAGGAGCCCCCCCGGCGUCCUGCCGAAAUCCCCCGUUGACCCUUAUCCAUCACGGCCCCCUAAUAAUCCCCAUCCCUGAACUGGCUACAUCACUCUCUCCUCUCCACUAAUAGCCGGUGUGGUGGGCGUCCUGGCGCGCUAUGGCUGCCGUCACAUCAUCCAGGUGGAUGCUACACACUGGUGGUGGUUGAGUAGACCCCCCCCCCCCCCCCUUCCCCAAUCUAAAGCGCUUUGAGU
Molecule: long non-coding RNA, 669 nt
Organism: Ictalurus punctatus (channel catfish)
Lineage: Eukaryota; Metazoa; Chordata; Actinopteri; Siluriformes; Ictaluridae
Source: Ensembl